Molecule: ribosomal RNA, 1530 nt
Filed under: Salmonella enterica
Lineage: Bacteria; Pseudomonadati; Pseudomonadota; Gammaproteobacteria; Enterobacterales; Enterobacteriaceae
Also listed under: 4 other names
Description: bacterial SSU rRNA
Rfam family: Bacterial small subunit ribosomal RNA
Source: RNAcentral
AGAGUUUGAUCAUGGCUCAGAUUGAACGCUGGCGGCAGGCCUAACACAUGCAAGUCGAACGGUAACAGGAAGCAGCUUGCUGCUUCGCUGACGAGUGGCGGACGGGUGAGUAAUGUCUGGGAAACUGCCUGAUGGAGGGGGAUAACUACUGGAAACGGUGGCUAAUACCGCAUAACGUCGCAAGACCAAAGAGGGGGACCUUCGGGCCUCUUGCCAUCAGAUGUGCCCAGAUGGGAUUAGCUAGUUGGUGAGGUAACGGCUCACCAAGGCGACGAUCCCUAGCUGGUCUGAGAGGAUGACCAGCCACACUGGAACUGAGACACGGUCCAGACUCCUACGGGAGGCAGCAGUGGGGAAUAUUGCACAAUGGGCGCAAGCCUGAUGCAGCCAUGCCGCGUGUAUGAAGAAGGCCUUCGGGUUGUAAAGUACUUUCAGCGGGGAGGAAGGUGUUGUGGUUAAUAACCGCAGCAAUUGACGUUACCCGCAGAAGAAGCACCGGCUAACUCCGUGCCAGCAGCCGCGGUAAUACGGAGGGUGCAAGCGUUAAUCGGAAUUACUGGGCGUAAAGCGCACGCAGGCGGUCUGUCAAGUCGGAUGUGAAAUCCCCGGGCUCAACCUGGGAACUGCAUUCGAAACUGGCAGGCUUGAGUCUUGUAGAGGGGGGUAGAAUUCCAGGUGUAGCGGUGAAAUGCGUAGAGAUCUGGAGGAAUACCGGUGGCGAAGGCGGCCCCCUGGACAAAGACUGACGCUCAGGUGCGAAAGCGUGGGGAGCAAACAGGAUUAGAUACCCUGGUAGUCCACGCCGUAAACGAUGUCUACUUGGAGGUUGUGCCCUUGAGGCGUGGCUUCCGGAGCUAACGCGUUAAGUAGACCGCCUGGGGAGUACGGCCGCAAGGUUAAAACUCAAAUGAAUUGACGGGGGCCCGCACAAGCGGUGGAGCAUGUGGUUUAAUUCGAUGCAACGCGAAGAACCUUACCUGGUCUUGACAUCCACAGAACUUUCCAGAGAUGGAUUGGUGCCUUCGGGAACUGUGAGACAGGUGCUGCAUGGCUGUCGUCAGCUCGUGUUGUGAAAUGUUGGGUUAAGUCCCGCAACGAGCGCAACCCUUAUCCUUUGUUGCCAGCGGUUAGGCCGGGAACUCAAAGGAGACUGCCAGUGAUAAACUGGAGGAAGGUGGGGAUGACGUCAAGUCAUCAUGGCCCUUACGACCAGGGCUACACACGUGCUACAAUGGCGCAUACAAAGAGAAGCGACCUCGCGAGAGCAAGCGGACCUCAUAAAGUGCGUCGUAGUCCGGAUUGGAGUCUGCAACUCGACUCCAUGAAGUCGGAAUCGCUAGUAAUCGUGGAUCAGAAUGCCACGGUGAAUACGUUCCCGGGCCUUGUACACACCGCCCGUCACACCAUGGGAGUGGGUUGCAAAAGAAGUAGGUAGCUUAACCUUCGGGAGGGCGCUUACCACUUUGUGAUUCAUGACUGGGGUGAAGUCGUAACAAGGUAACCGUAGGGGAACCUGCGGUUGGAUCACCU